UGGGGAAUAUUGCGCAAUAGGGGAAACCCUGACGCAGCGACGCCGCGUGGAGGAUGAAGGUCUUCGGGUUGUAAACUCCUUUUCUCAGGGAAAAUUAUGAUGGUACCUGAGGAAUAAGCCACGGCUAACUCUGUGCCAGCAGCCGCGGUAAGACAGAGGUGGCGAGCGUUGUUCGGAAUUACUGGGCUUAAAGGGCGAGUAGGCGUCCCGACAAGUCAGAUGUGGAAUCUUUUCGCUUAACGAAAAAAUUGCAUUUGAAACUGUCGGGAUUGAGUCAGUGAGGGGAGGGCGGAAUUCCUGGUGUAGCGGUGAAAUGCGUAGAUAUCAGGAGGAAGGCCUGUGGCGAAGGCGGCCCUCUGGCACUGGACUGACGCUGAGGCGCGAAAGCGUGGGGAGCAAA
This 400-nucleotide ribosomal RNA is filed under the name uncultured bacterium. Its description in RNAcentral is "bacterial SSU rRNA". It matches the Rfam family "Bacterial small subunit ribosomal RNA", at positions 355 to 772 of the family's 1533-position model. The record is from RNAcentral.